AACGAACGCUGGCGGCGUGGUUUAGGCAUGCAAGUCGAGCGAGAAAGUCCUUCGGGACGAGUACAGCGGCGAAAGGGUGAGUAAUAUAUAGGUAACCUACCUCUUGGACUCGGAUAAUUCCUGGAAACGGGUUGUAAUACGAGAUCGUCCUAUUGGGUCGCAUGGCCCGACUGGUAAAUGGUAGCUCUGCUUCUGCCGAGAGAGGGGCCCUAUAUCCUAUUAGCUAGUUGGUGAGGUAAUGGCUCACCAAGGCUUUGAUGGGUAGCCGGACUGAGAGGUUGGCCGGUCACACUGGGACUGAGACACUGCCCAGACUCCUACGGGAGGCUGCAGUCGAGAAUCUUCCGCAAUGGGCGAAAGCCUGACGGGGCGACGCCGCGUGAACG
Molecule: ribosomal RNA, 386 nt
Filed under: uncultured bacterium
Lineage: Bacteria
Description: bacterial SSU rRNA
Rfam family: Bacterial small subunit ribosomal RNA
Source: RNAcentral